GCGGUAGAUCAGGUAAUCGCUCUGCCCGCGGGCGGAGAGGAAAGUCCGAACUCCACAGGGCAGGAUGCCCGGAGUUAAUCCGGGACCCGGCAGGUGUAAAUCUGCCGGGAUGGAAAGUGUCACAGAAACCAAACCGCCUUUCCGGCUUGCCGGGAAGGUAAGGGUGAAAAGGCGGGGUAAGAGCCCACCAGCCGGUCUCCUGCGGGAGAAUUUGUGGUAACACCCGGGCUGGACAAACCCCUUCCGGAGCAAGGCCAAAUAGGGAAGCAUUUUCUGCGGAAAGCGAGGCGGCCCGUCUCGUGGUAACCUGGUUACCAAGACUUCCGGGUAGGCUGCAUUAGAUAAAUGAUUACCAUCCCGGUUCGCCGGGAUACAGAAUUCGGCUUAUCGAUUUACCGCAAAU
This 403-nucleotide RNase P RNA is filed under the name Calditrichota bacterium. RNAcentral's name for it is "Calditrichaeota bacterium (activated sludge metagenome) RNase P RNA component class A". It matches the Rfam family "Bacterial RNase P class A". Rfam says of the family: Ribonuclease P (RNase P) is a ubiquitous endoribonuclease, found in archaea, bacteria and eukarya as well as chloroplasts and mitochondria. Its best characterised activity is the generation of mature 5'-ends of tRNAs by cleaving the 5'-leader elements of precursor-tRNAs. Cellular RNase Ps are ribonucleoproteins. Lineage: Bacteria; Pseudomonadati; Calditrichota. RNAcentral also lists the same sequence under 1 other name. The record is from RNAcentral.